This 616-nucleotide ribosomal RNA is filed under the name Arthroderma multifidum. Its description in RNAcentral is "LSU rRNA". It matches the Rfam family "Eukaryotic large subunit ribosomal RNA", at positions 38 to 667 of the family's 3401-position model. Lineage: Eukaryota; Fungi; Ascomycota; Eurotiomycetes; Onygenales; Arthrodermataceae. The record is from RNAcentral.
GCAUAUCAAUAAGCGGAGGAAAAGAAACCAACAGGGGAUUGCCUCAGUAACGGCGAGUGAAGCGGCAAAAGCUCAAAUUUGAAAUCUGGCACCUCUGGGUGUCCGAGUUGUAAUUUGGAGAGGAUACUUCGGGCAUGGUUGCAGCAUAAGUCCCUUGGAACAGGGUGUCAUAGAGGGUGAGAAUCCCGUCUUAAGUUGUUAACCAUGUCCAUGCGAAGUUCCUUCGACGAGUCGAGUUGUUUGGGAAUGCAGCUCUAAGUGGGUGGUAAAUUUCAUCUAAAGCUAAAUAUUGGCCAGAGACCGAUAGCGAACAAGUAGAGUGAUCGAAAGGUUAAAAGCACCUUGAAAAGGGAGUUAAAUAGCACGUGAAAUUGUUGAAAGGGAAGCGCUUGCAACCAGACUCGGUCACAGGGGCUCAGCAGGCAUGCGUGUCUGUGUACUCCCCUGUGUUCGGGCCAGCAUCAGUUCUGGCGGUUGGUUAAAGGCCCUUGGAAUGUAUCGUCCUCCGGGACGCCUUAUAGCCAAGGGUGUAAUGCGGCCAGCCGGGACUGAGGAACGCGCUUCGGCACGGAUGCUGGCGUAAUGGUUGUAAGCGGCCCGUCUUGAAACACGGACC